GACGAACGCUGGCGGCGCGCCUAACACAUGCAAGUCGAACGAGCGAGCGGAGGUUUACUUUCUCAAGCGAGUGGCGAACGGGUGAGUAACGCGUGAGGAACCUGCCUCAAAGAGGGGGACAACAGUGGGAAACGACUGCUAAUACCGCAUAAGCCCACGACCCGGAUUCGGGUAGAGGGAAAAGGGGCAGUCCGCUUUGAGAUGGCCUCGCGUCCGAUUGUGUAGUUGGUGAGGUAAUGGCCCACCAAGGCGACGAGCGGGAGCCGGACGGAGUUGUGGCACGGCUGCGUUGGGACUGCGGCACGGCCCACACUCCUACGGGGGGGAGCAGUGGAGAAUAUUGCACGAGGGAGGAAACCCUGAUGCAGCGGCGUCGCGUGGAGGAAGAAGGUCUUCGGAUUGUAAACUCGUGUUGUUGGGGAAGAUAAUGACGGUACUCAACAAAGAAGUGACGGCUAACUACGUG
This 466-nucleotide ribosomal RNA is filed under the name uncultured bacterium. Its description in RNAcentral is "partial 16S ribosomal RNA". It matches the Rfam family "Bacterial small subunit ribosomal RNA", at positions 28 to 507 of the family's 1533-position model. The record is from RNAcentral.